Molecule: transfer RNA, 74 nt
Filed under: Bacteroidota bacterium
Lineage: Bacteria; Pseudomonadati; Bacteroidota
Description: Bacteroidetes bacterium (activated sludge metagenome) tRNA-Leu
Rfam family: tRNA
About the family: Transfer RNA (tRNA) molecules are approximately 80 nucleotides in length. Their secondary structure includes four short double-helical elements and three loops (D, anti-codon, and T loops).
Source: RNAcentral
ACCUCCUUAGCGCAACGGGUAGAGGCAAUAGUUUCAGAAACUAUACAGUGCCAGUUCGAAUCUGGCAGGAGGUA